CCAGGCCGGAGGUCCGCGCCCGGCAGAAGGCAAGCCGCAUCUUCCAUCCCAGCCCCAUCCUCCUCGCCCUGCUGUUGCUGCAGCUCGUCCGAUUUGCACCUCUUCAUGGUGUCUCAUAAGAACUUAGGCUCUACGUUCAGAAACUAGGUGCACAGAAACAUGGGAGAGUCCCCUGCUCCCUGAAAGCAGCUUUUAAACAAGAAUGGGUUAUUGUUGCUGUGAAGGGGCUGUGAUGUGUAUGCUCACAUUGCUUUUGUGAAGAACCAAGUGGACAGUGCCUAUGAAACGCCCAUGCUGAACACAAGGCUGACGUCAGUAAACCCAAAUGAAGUGGGAUUCAUCGUCUUUAUUUGGAAAGCUGGAUGUUCCUCAGUAACGGGAGAAGACUCAUGAUCAUCACAUGACCAGAGAAGGUCUGUGAAGCAUAAACCUCGUUGAACUGCUCCGUGAAAGCUGGGAUGGUGUACUAGCAAGAGCUGGAAUCUCACUUGAACGCAACCACAGUGCUGGACAUUUUGCUGGAAAUGCUGUGAACAUUUUCUUAUUUAAUCCUCCCAGCAGCCCUGAGAGAAUUGGAAUUUCUGGAGAUGGAACUGAAAAUCUGCUUUUUGGAGAAGUGACCCAGAUGAUUUUCAUCCUGAAGUUUGAGAAGCAUAAGGAUCCUGAAAGUCUAGCUCUGCCAGGACUUCCUUUCCUUGGUAUAGUUUAUCUCAACCCCUUGGGACCCAGUUUGGAAUGGCAAACCAUGCGCUGAAGUCUAGCCUUUAUUUCUAACAGAUGGCACACUUUGUUUCUGAUAUACAAGUGGAGAGAUACUAUCUGAUUCAAGAAGAAAAUGUAGGUUUCUUGAAAAGAAAAAAAAUAAACAAAAAACUAAAUGAGUAA
Peromyscus californicus insignis is the source of this 885-nucleotide long non-coding RNA. RefSeq lists it as uncharacterized. Lineage: Eukaryota; Metazoa; Chordata; Mammalia; Rodentia; Cricetidae. The record is from RefSeq and is a predicted model, not a curated record. The transcript has 7 exons.